UGCCGCGUGNAGGAAGANUGCCCUAUGGGUUGUAAACUGCUUUUAUACAGGAAGAAACCUUUUCACGUGUGAAAAGCUGACGGUACUGUAAGAAUAAGGAUCGGCUAACUCCGUGCCAGCAGCCGCGGUAAUACGGAGGAUCCAAGCGUUAUCCGGAAUCAUUGGGUUUAAAGGGUCCGUAGGUGGAUAAUUAAGUCAGGGGUGAAAGUCUGCAGCUCAACUGUAGAAUUGCCUUUGAUACUGGUUAUCUUGAAUUAUUGUGAAGUGGUUAGAAUAUGUAGUGUAGCGGUGAAAUGCAUAGAUAUUACAUAGAAUACCAAUUGCGAAGGCAGAUCACUAACAAUAUAUUGACACUGAUGGACGAAAGCGUGGGGAGCGAACAGGAUUAGAUACCCUGGUAG
RNAcentral lists this ribosomal RNA (401 nucleotides) under Winogradskyella sp. Asnod1G01. RNAcentral describes it as "bacterial SSU rRNA". It matches the Rfam family "Bacterial small subunit ribosomal RNA", at positions 395 to 793 of the family's 1533-position model. The record is from RNAcentral. Lineage: Bacteria; Pseudomonadati; Bacteroidota; Flavobacteriia; Flavobacteriales; Flavobacteriaceae.